UACUGUGAAUAAUUAAAAAACAGGGCUCUAUCCUACUGGUAACCUCUUUCCACCUUGAAAUAAUCCCAUUUACUGGCACUGUUGUGGUCAUGUCUCUUCACCCAAUUUUCAGGCUCGUUUGCCAGCUCUCUGCCUAUUGUGGGUCUGCACUUUAAACACUCACUUUCCUUAUUGAAAUGUUUCCUGACAAGAACACCUGCUGUAUUCUCCCAGCAAACGCUGGGGCCACGGCGUCUCUCCUCUAAUGACACCUCAUCAAUCCGCUCCUAUCAAUGUCCCAGCCAUGGAGGUGACUUCGAGUGCUCAGAAGCCUUAGAAAAUGUCAACGUUUUGGGAGAAAAGGUCAGUCACAGCUUCCCCCCCACCUCCCCUGCCAAGCCACCGUGGGCCUGGCGUUCAUUAUCCUAAUUAAAUCCAGCAGCUGAACAUCUUCUUAUCUGUAGGGGAGGAGAGCAGGGGCAUGAUGCAAUAGGAUUGAUUUGCAUAUCCAAAGUUAAUUAGUGCGGAGGAGCAGGUGUACAGUAAUAAUAAUUAUCACACAUGACAAUCACCUGUGACCACUUCCCUGCGCCCCUUCCGGGAUUCAGCACAGUGAUUGCUGGCUGGUUUUUUCCUUGCUUGAUACCCAUCCUGAGCUGUUUAUGUCCUUGUGCCUCUCUUCACAAACCUGCUGUGAGUAGAUUGUCUGUUCCUUAACAGGCACUGUAUUUUUCUCUAAAGGUAUAUUUUCCCCUGUUUCAUUUGGAGGGAGAGACUAUUGUAAGGCAGCUAUUUUCAAUUUUGUUUGCUGAAGUUGUCACAUCCUGUUGGAGCCUGCGUAUUUAUUUUUAGAUUACAUGUAAGUGGAUAAGGAAAAAAAAUUGCUCAGGAUAUUAAUUUGAAAAUCCCACUUUGCAUCAUUUGAAGAUUCUAUCUUGAGCAUAUGCUGGGAAAUCAGUCUGAUCCAAAAUAAACUUAUUAGGCAAGAGACACAUGAAACCAAGUGACAAUGUGAUGUUUGCCACAAGAUUGUCCAUGCCAGUUUGAAGAGGGCAGAGGGAGCUGAAUACAGAGCCUAAGUCUUCCCAGUCUGUGGACAGUGCAGUAAAAUGCAGGCUUGUGAUGCUCAUUGGACACAAACCUGAAGAAACUGAAAAAGAUUUGGGUGGGUUGUUUAGGAUCUGCAGAAUACAGGGUAAACAAACAAACACUAGAAUGUUACUCCAGCAGGAAGACGUCAGACUAUAGCCUUGAAGCAAAUUCAGUGCAGCUUGCAGGAUGGCUCUCAUGAUGCCUUCAUCGCAGAAAGCUUAGAUAGAUUACACUCUUUGGAUUUAGUUUGCACAUAAAUGCAUGGGGUAUGCAUGUUGAAAAGUGUUUUCUCUGUCAAACGAGGGUAAUUUUUUCAAAUUAAGCCAAAAAGCAUGCCCUGGAAAUUGGAUGUGCCUUCAUAGAAAUGAAUUAUUGCUGUAUAUUAUACAGGAAUUUAACAGUCACAAUGGUAGGCUAAUAAGUAGGUAAGAACAGAAUAUUAAAUACAAAGAAAGUUUUGUGGGUAAAGGGGAGGCAUUAAUGUUAAGUUAGCUAGGAAACUGUGACUGUUUUUAAUUUUUUUUUUCAUUUCGACUUUUGUCUGUUUCACUUUUAUUUGUCAGGGUACACUUUUGCCAAUCAAGUCAAGUAUAACCGGUAGGCCUUCCUUUCACACAGCUUUAAUGAUAAGUGACAGAGACGGCAAAAGGUACUCAACUGCCUGCAGAAUGCAUUAAAAAUUUAAAACUUUACUUAUCAGUCUUUUAUUAAAACUUUCUGUAAUUGUACAAAAUUAUUUCCCCACUGGGUUACUUUUCAAUAUGGAGUGCAAUUAUAUUUCUGACACAAAAUAAUUAUAGUUUAAAAAAGCUAUAAGAAAAAAGUAUUUAUUUUUAAAGCAAAAUCCAUCCAUUUUACAUUCAUGAAGAGUUAUUGCAAUGAAAAAUUAAGCAGUUGCUGAGCCAAAAUUUCAGUUCAGAAUGUUUAAUUUUCAGUACUAGACAGCUAGGUAGAAAUCUCGUCUGUAGAAAUGAAAGGAAUUAUGGCUUAUGGUCAAAGUCUUUCUAGUCCUUGUUUGUUUACUAAGGCAAUACAUUUAUGUAUUAUACCUUUAACCUAUCCAUAUCAGUAGCUAGAAUACUGCAGCUAAAUUCUUUCUAACGGGAUAAAAACCAUUAGUAACUGUGUUUUGGGGAAUUAUCUGUGUUUUUUCUAUAUGCCUAACAUCAUCUUAGGUAACGAUUUUAAAUUCAAGAACUACUAACUCUGGACAGUGGGCUCUGCAUGUGCAGAGCAACAUUCUAAUAAUUUCCAAAUCUUCACUAGUCAUCUUGGUCUUUAUCUAAAAUCCUACUGAGCAAGUUUCCAGAAAAAGAGUUGUCCUAUGUUCAUUCUCCGAAGAGACAGAGAUCAACACAUAUUCUCUUGGGCAUCUUUUGUGUAGAAGUUGCUAGAGUUGAAACCCUGGGAAAUAUGGAGACAAAUUUAUAUUUCAACUAGGGGCUUUUGGAAUCAGCUCAAAUUUCCAUAAAAGCUGACAUAUUACACUUUCUUAGCUCACACCCUGAUGGCACAUUCUUUUUGAAUACAAGGAAUACCUAUUGUGUAUUUAGUAAGCACUCAGCACGGUGUUAGGCAAUUGCAUUUAAAUCCAAAGAUUUUCAAGUCUUGCUCAAAUCUUUUCUUGUCUUCAAUGAACUCACAAUUUAGAAGGAAAAUUAGACAUGUGA
Callithrix jacchus (white-tufted-ear marmoset) is the source of this 2741-nucleotide long non-coding RNA. The record is from Ensembl. Lineage: Eukaryota; Metazoa; Chordata; Mammalia; Primates; Cebidae.